RNAcentral lists this ribosomal RNA (301 nucleotides) under uncultured bacterium. RNAcentral describes it as "partial 16S ribosomal RNA". It matches the Rfam family "Bacterial small subunit ribosomal RNA", at positions 509 to 807 of the family's 1533-position model. The record is from RNAcentral.
CAGCCGCCGCGGGAAUACGAAGGGUGCAAGCGUUAAUCGGAAUUACUGGGCGUAAAGCGUGCGUAGGCGGUUUGUUAAGUCUGUUGUGAAAUCCCCGGGCUCAACCUGGGAAUGGCAAUGGAUACUGGCAAGCUAGAGUGUGUCAGAGGAUGGUGGAAUUCCCGGUGUAGCGGUGAAAUGCGCAGAGAUCGAGAGGAACAUCAGUGGCGAAGGCGGCCAUCUGGGACAACACUGACGCUGAGGCACGAAAGCGUGGGGAGCAAACAGGAUUAGAUACCCCGGUAGUCCCUGUCUCUUAUAC